GCAAUUUACGACCUCUGGCCGUAUGGAUCACGCAUAUCUUUGAUGUGCGGCGUGGUGAGGCAACUCCCACUUGGAUUUUCAGCUAUAACCCGUGUUUAUUACCUUUGUUGCUUUGGCGAGCCGCCUUCGGGCGCAGCUUCGGCUGAUCGUGCUCGCCAGAGAACCCAAACUCUUUUGUUACAGUAUUGUCUGAGUACUAUAUAAUAGUUA
This 210-nucleotide unclassified non-coding RNA is filed under the name uncultured Cladophialophora. Its description in RNAcentral is "sequence contains ITS1". The record is from RNAcentral. Lineage: Eukaryota; Fungi; Ascomycota; Eurotiomycetes; Chaetothyriales; Herpotrichiellaceae.